UACAGAGGUCUCAAGCGUUGUUCGGAUUCAUUGGGCGUAAAGGGUGCGUAGGCGGCGCGGUAAGUCGGGUGUGAAAUCUCGGAGCUUAACUCCGAAACUGCAUUCGAUACUGCCGUGCUUGAGGACUGGAGAGGAGACUGGAAUUUACGGUGUAGCGGUGAAAUGCGUAGAGAUCAUGAGGAAGACCAGUGGCGAAGGCGGGUCUCUGGACAGUUCCUGACACUGAGACACGAAGGCCAGGGGAGCAAACAGG
This 253-nucleotide ribosomal RNA is filed under the name uncultured bacterium. RNAcentral's name for it is "partial 16S ribosomal RNA". It matches the Rfam family "Bacterial small subunit ribosomal RNA", at positions 524 to 776 of the family's 1533-position model. The record is from RNAcentral.